RNAcentral lists this ribosomal RNA (398 nucleotides) under uncultured bacterium. Its description in RNAcentral is "partial 16S ribosomal RNA". It matches the Rfam family "Bacterial small subunit ribosomal RNA", at positions 523 to 918 of the family's 1533-position model. The record is from RNAcentral.
AUACGUAGGGUGCGAGCGUUGUCCGGAUUUAUUGGGCGUAAAGGGCUCGUAGGUGGUUGAUCGCGUCGGAAGCGUAAUCUUGGGGCUUAACCCUGAGCGUGCUUUCGAUACGGGUUGACUUGAGGAAGGUAGGGGAGAAUGGAAUUCCUGGUGGAGCGGUGGAAUGCGCAGAUAUCAGGAGGAACACCAGUGGCGAAGGCGGUUCUCUGGGCCUUUCCUGACGCUGAGGAGCGAAAGCGUGGGGAGCGAACAGGCUUAGAUACCCUGGUAGUCCACGCUGUAAACGGUGGGUACUAGGUGUGGGGUCCAUUCCACGGGUUCCGUGCCGUAGCUAACGCUUUAAGUACCCCGCCUGGGGAGUACGGCCGCAAGGCUAAAACUCAAAGGAAUUGACGGGG